UUAAGCGACUAAGCGUACACGGUGGAUGCCCUGGCAGUCAGAGGCGAUGAAGGACGUGCUAAUCUGCGAUAAGCGUCGGUGAGGUGAUAUGAACCGUUAUAACCGGCGAUUUCCGAAUGGGGAAACCCAGUGUGUUUCGACACACUAUCAUUAACUGAAUCCAUAGGUUAAUGAGGCGAACCGGGGGAACUGAAACAUCUAAGUACCCCGAGGAAAAGAAAUCAACCGAGAUUCCCCCAGUAGCGGCGAGCGAACGGGGAGGAGCCCAGAGCCUGAAUCAGUGUGUGUGUUAGUGGAAGCGUCUGGAAAGGCGUGCGAUACAGGGUGACAGCCCCGUACACAAAAAUGCACAUAUUGUGAGCUCGAUGAGUAGGGCGGGACACGUGGUAUCCUGUCUGAAUAUGGGGGGACCAUCCUCCAAGGCUAAAUACUCCUGACUGACCGAUAGUGAACCAGUACCGUGAGGGAAAGGCGAAAAGAACCCCGGCGAGGGGAGUGAAAAAGAACCUGAAACCGUGUACGUACAAGCAGUGGGAGCCUCUUAAUGGGGUGACUGCGUACCUUUUGUAUAAUGGGUCAGCGACUUAUAUUCUGUAGCAAGGUUAACCGAAUAGGGGAGCCGAAGGGAAACCGAGUCUUAACUGGGCGUUAAGUUGCAGGGUAUAGACCCGAAACCCGGUGAUCUAGCCAUGGGCAGGUUGAAGGUUGGGUAACACUAACUGGAGGACCGAACCGACUAAUGUUGAAAAAUUAGCGGAUGACUUGUGGCUGGGGGUGAAAGGCCAAUCAAACCGGGAGAUAGCUGGUUCUCCCCGAAAGCUAUUUAGGUAGCGCCUCGUGAAUUCAUCUCCGGGGGUAGAGCACUGUUUCGGCAAGGGGGUCAUCCCGACUUACCAACCCGAUGCAAACUGCGAAUACCGGAGAAUGUUAUCACGGGAGACACACGGCGGGUGCUAACGUCCGUCGUGAAGAGGGAAACAACCCAGACCGCCAGCUAAGGUCCCAAAGUCAUGGUUAAGUGGGAAACGAUGUGGGAAGGCCCAGACAGCCAGGAUGUUGGCUUAGAAGCAGCCAUCAUUUAAAGAAAGCGUAAUAGCUCACUGGUCGAGUCGGCCUGCGCGGAAGAUGUAACGGGGCUAAACCAUGCACCGAAGCUGCGGCAGCGACACUAUGUGUUGUUGGGUAGGGGAGCGUUCUGUAAGCCUGUGAAGGUGGCCUGUGAGGGUUGCUGGAGGUAUCAGAAGUGCGAAUGCUGACAUAAGUAACGAUAAAGCGGGUGAAAAGCCCGCUCGCCGGAAGACCAAGGGUUCCUGUCCAACGUUAAUCGGGGCAGGGUGAGUCGACCCCUAAGGCGAGGCCGAAAGGCGUAGUCGAUGGGAAACAGGUUAAUAUUCCUGUACUUGGUGUUACUGCGAAGGGGGGACGGAGAAGGCUAUGUUGGCCGGGCGACGGUUGUCCCGGUUUAAGCGUGUAGGCUGGUUUUCCAGGCAAAUCCGGAAAACCAAGGCUGAGGCGUGAUGACGAGGCACUACGGUGCUGAAGCGACAAAUGCCCUGCUUCCAGGAAAAGCCUCUAAGCAUCAGGUAACAUCAAAUCGUACCCCAAACCGACACAGGUGGUCAGGUAGAGAAUACCAAGGCGCUUGAGAGAACUCGGGUGAAGGAACUAGGCAAAAUGGUGCCGUAACUUCGGGAGAAGGCACGCUGAUAUGUAGGUGAAUCGACUUGCUCGUGGAGCUGAAAUCAGUCGAAGAUACCAGCUGGCUGCAACUGUUUAUUAAAAACACAGCACUGUGCAAACACGAAAGUGGACGUAUACGGUGUGACGCCUGCCCGGUGCCGGAAGGUUAAUUGAUGGGGUUAGCGGCAACGCGAAGCUCUUGAUCGAAGCCCCGGUAAACGGCGGCCGUAACUAUAACGGUCCUAAGGUAGCGAAAUUCCUUGUCGGGUAAGUUCCGACCUGCACGAAUGGCGUAAUGAUGGCCAGGCUGUCUCCACCCGAGACUCAGUGAAAUUGAACUCGCUGUGAAGAUGCAGUGUACCCGCGGCAAGACGGAAAGACCCCGUGAACCUUUACUAUAGCUUGACACUGAACAUUGAGCCUUGAUGUGUAGGAUAGGUGGGAGGCUUUGAAGUGUGGACGCCAGUCUGCAUGGAGCCGACCUUGAAAUACCACCCUUUAAUGUUUGAUGUUCUAACGUUGGCCCGUAAUCCGGGUUGCGGACAGUGUCUGGUGGGUAGUUUGACUGGGGCGGUCUCCUCCUAAAGAGUAACGGAGGAGCACGAAGGUUGGCUAAUCCUGGUCGGACAUCAGGAGGUUAGUGCAAUGGCAUAAGCCAGCUUGACUGCGAGCGUGACGGCGCGAGCAGGUGCGAAAGCAGGUCAUAGUGAUCCGGUGGUUCUGAAUGGAAGGGCCAUCGCUCAACGGAUAAAAGGUACUCCGGGGAUAACAGGCUGAUACCGCCCAAGAGUUCAUAUCGACGGCGGUGUUUGGCACCUCGAUGUCGGCUCAUCACAUCCUGGGGCUGAAGUAGGUCCCAAGGGUAUGGCUGUUCGCCAUUUAAAGUGGUACGCGAGCUGGGUUUAGAACGUCGUGAGACAGUUCGGUCCCUAUCUGCCGUGGGCGCUGGAGAACUGAGGGGGGCUGCUCCUAGUACGAGAGGACCGGAGUGGACGCAUCACUGGUGUUCGGGUUGUCAUGCCAAUGGCACUGCCCGGUAGCUAAAUGCGGAAGAGAUAAGUGCUGAAAGCAUCUAAGCACGAAACUUGCCCCGAGAUGAGUUCUCCCUGACUCCUUGAGGGUCCUGAAGGAACGUUGAAGACGACGACGUUGAUAGGCCGGGUGUGUAAGCGCAGCGAUGCGUUGAGCUAACCGGUACUAAUGAACCGUGAGGCUUAACCUU
Molecule: ribosomal RNA, 2902 nt
Filed under: Escherichia coli
Lineage: Bacteria; Pseudomonadati; Pseudomonadota; Gammaproteobacteria; Enterobacterales; Enterobacteriaceae
Description: 23S ribosomal RNA
Rfam family: Bacterial large subunit ribosomal RNA
Source: RNAcentral